RNAcentral lists this ribosomal RNA (428 nucleotides) under uncultured bacterium. Its description in RNAcentral is "bacterial SSU rRNA". It matches the Rfam family "Bacterial small subunit ribosomal RNA", at positions 355 to 775 of the family's 1533-position model. The record is from RNAcentral.
UCGAGAAUCUUUCGCAAUGGGCGAAAGCCUGACGAAGCGACGCCGUGUGUGCGAUGAAGGCCUUUGGGUCGUAAAGCACUUUCGCCUGGGAACAAGAGAAGAUGGCUAACACCCAUCUAAUUUGAGGGUACCAGGUAAAGAAGUACCGGCUAACUACGUGCCAGCAGCUGCGGUAAUACGUAGGGUACAAGCGUUAAUCGGAUUUAUUGGGCGUAAAGGGCGCGUAGACGGGAGGAUAAGUCAGAUGUGAAAUCCCGGGGCUCAACCCCGGAACAGCAUUUGAAACUGUUUUUCUAGAGGAUGGACGGAGAAAACGGAAUUCCACAAGUAGCGGUGAAAUGCGUAGAUAUGUGGAAGAACACCAGUGGCGAAGGCGGUUUUCUAGUUUAUUCCUGACGUUGAGGCGCGAAAGCUAGGGGAGCAAACAG